RNAcentral lists this ribosomal RNA (253 nucleotides) under uncultured bacterium. RNAcentral's name for it is "partial 16S ribosomal RNA". It matches the Rfam family "Bacterial small subunit ribosomal RNA", at positions 524 to 776 of the family's 1533-position model. The record is from RNAcentral.
UACGUAGGGAGCAAGCGUUGUCCGGAAUCAUUGGGCGUAAAGCGCGCGUAGGUGGCCCCGUAAGUCCGCUGUGAAAGUCAAAGGCUCAACCUUUGAAAGCCGGUGGAUACUGUGGGACUAGAGUACGGAAGAGGCGAGUGGAAUUCCUGGUGUAGCGGUGGAAUGCGCAGAUAUCAGGAGGAACACCGGUGGCGAAGGCGGUUCUCUGGGCAUGUCCUGACGCUGAGGAGCGAAAGUGUGGGGAGCGAACAGG